Molecule: small nucleolar RNA, 104 nt
Organism: Cajanus cajan (pigeon pea)
Lineage: Eukaryota; Viridiplantae; Streptophyta; Magnoliopsida; Fabales; Fabaceae
Rfam family: Small nucleolar RNA Z279/snoR105/snoR108
About the family: This family includes the plant snoRNAs known as Z279, snoR105 and snoR108. All three are members of the C/D class of snoRNA which contain the C (UGAUGA) and D (CUGA) box motifs.
Source: Rfam
GGGAAAUGAAGAGUGGUGAAAUCUCGCACAAAAAAAGCGAGUGGGGUGUCCGCCCCAGCCUGGUUACGACUAUUGGGCACUCUCCCUCUGACCGAUCUGAUCCC